RNAcentral lists this transfer RNA (71 nucleotides) under Botrylloides leachii. RNAcentral's name for it is "transfer RNA-Asn". Lineage: Eukaryota; Metazoa; Chordata; Ascidiacea; Stolidobranchia; Styelidae. The record is from RNAcentral.
AUUGAUUUAGUAUAUAAAGUAUUGAUCACUGUUAAUGAUUGGGAACCUCGGAGGGGUAGAGGUAGUCGGUG